RNAcentral lists this ribosomal RNA (888 nucleotides) under uncultured Nostocales cyanobacterium. Its description in RNAcentral is "bacterial SSU rRNA". It matches the Rfam family "Bacterial small subunit ribosomal RNA", at positions 509 to 1397 of the family's 1533-position model. The record is from RNAcentral. Lineage: Bacteria; Bacillati; Cyanobacteriota; Cyanophyceae; Nostocales.
CAGCCGCCGCGGUAAUUCGGAGGAUGCAAGCGUUAUCCGGAAUGAUUGGGCGUAAAGCGUCCGUAGGUGGUUUUGUGUGUCUGCUGUUAAAGCGUGCGGCUCAACCGCAUAAGGGCGGUGGAAACUACAAGACUAGAGUACGUUCGGGGCAGGGGGAAUUCCCAGUGUAGCGGUGAAAUGCGUAGAGAUUGGGAAGAACACCGGUGGCGAAAGCGCCCUGCUAGGCCGUAACUGACACUGAGGGACGAAAGCUAGGGGAGCGAAUGGGAUUAGAUACCCCAGUAGUCCUAGCCGUAAACGAUGGAUACUAGGCGUUGAGAGUAUCGACCCUCUCAGUGUCGUAGCUAACGCGUUAAGUAUCCCGCCUGGGGAGUACGCAGGCAACUGUGAAACUCAAAGGAAUUGACGGGGGCCCGCACAAGCGGUGGAGUAUGUGGUUUAAUUCGAUGCAACGCGAAGAACCUUACCAGGGUUUGACAUGUCGCGAAUCCUUUGGAAACAGAGGAGUGCCUUCGGGAGCGCGAACACAGGUGGUGCAUGGCUGUCGUCAGCUCGUGUCGUGAGAUGUUGGGUUAAGUCCCGCAACGAGCGCAACCCUCGUCCUUAGUUGCCAUCAUUAAGUUGGGAACUCUAGGGAGACUGCCGGUGACAAACCGGAGGAAGGUGGGGAUGACGUCAAGUCAUCAUGCCCCUUACAUCCUGGGCUACACACGUACUACAAUGCUACGGACAACGGGCAGCAAGCUAGCGAUAGCAAGCAAAUCUCAGAAACCGUGGCUCAGUUCAGAUUGUAGGCUGCAACUCGCCUACAUGAAGGAGGAAUCGCUAGUAAUCGCAGGUCAGCAUACUGCGGUGAAUUCGUUCCCGGGCCUUGUACACACCGCCCGU